This 77-nucleotide transfer RNA is filed under the name Massilia sp. TS11. Its description in RNAcentral is "tRNA-Pro". It matches the Rfam family "tRNA". From Rfam's summary of the family: Transfer RNA (tRNA) molecules are approximately 80 nucleotides in length. Lineage: Bacteria; Pseudomonadati; Pseudomonadota; Betaproteobacteria; Burkholderiales; Oxalobacteraceae. The record is from RNAcentral.
CGGGGCGUAGCUCAGACAGGUAGAGCGGCCGGUUUGGGACCGGCAGGCCACAGGUUCAAGUCCUGUCGCCCCGACCA